This 1357-nucleotide ribosomal RNA is filed under the name uncultured marine eukaryote. Its description in RNAcentral is "SSU rRNA". It matches the Rfam family "Eukaryotic small subunit ribosomal RNA", at positions 383 to 1807 of the family's 1831-position model. The record is from RNAcentral.
UCGGAGAGGGCGCAUGAGAAACGGCUACCACAUCUAAGGAAGGCAGCAGGAGCGUAAAUUACCCAAUGUCGACUCGAUGAGCGUAGUGACAAUACAUAACAAAGAGGGGAUUUUUUAUCUUACUCUAUUGCAAUGAGGCAUGUUUAAUAACCUGUUCGAGCAACCAGUGAAGGGCAAGUCUGGUGCCAGCAGCCGCGGUAAUUCCAGCUUCACGAGUGUAUAUUUAAGUUGUUGCAGUUAAAAAGCUCGUAGUUGAACUUCUGUUUGUUCAGGAGGUGUGCAAGCACAAUCUGGGCGAACAUCCGCCUGAAAAAUCAUUCGGGUCUUCACUGACUCAGUGAUGGAUCAGGCAUUUUACUUUGAAAAAAUUAGAGUGUUCAAAGCAGGCUUUCGCCUGAAUACAUUAGCAUGGAAUAAUAGAAUAGGACGCUGUUCAAUUUGUUGGUUAUUGAAUUGCGUAAUGAUUAAUAGGGACAGUUGGGGGCAUUUGUAUUUAAUUGUCAGAGGUGAAAUUCUGGAUUUAUUAAAGACAAACUUAUGCGAAAGCAUUUGCCAAGGAUGUUUUCAUUAAUCAAGAACGAAAGUUAGAGGAUCAAAGACGAUCAGAUACCGUCCUAGUUUUAACUAUAAACUAUGCCGACUCGGUCUCAGUCAAGUCUUCCUAACUUGAUUGGUGCCGUAUGAGAAAUCAAAGUCUUUGGGUUCCGGGGGGAGUAUGGUCGCAAGGUUGAAACUUAAAGGAAUAGACGGAACAUCACUACCGGGUGUGGAUCCUGCGGCUUAAUUUGACUCAACACGGGGAAACUUACCAGCGCAAAACAAGGGUGGGAUUGACAGAUUGAGAGCUCUUUCUUGAUUCUUUGGAUAGUGGUGCAUGGCCGUUCUUAGUUGGUGGAGUGAUUUGUCUGCUUAAUUGCGUUAACGAACGAGACCUCAACCUACUUACUAGACGCGUGAUUAAUUCAUCGCGUGUUCUUCUUAGAGGGACUGUGCGGAGACAAACGCAAGGAAGUUUGAGGCAAUAACAGGUCUGUGAUGCCCUUAGAUGUGCUGGGCCGCACGCGGGAUACAAUGACCCGUUCAGAAAGUAUAACCUGACCCGGAAGGGAGUGGGUAAUCUUUUUAAUGCGGGUCGUGCUAGGGAUCGAUCUUUGCAAUUAUAGAUCUUGAACGAGGAAUACCUAGUAAGUGCAAGUCAUCAGCUUGUACUGAUUACGUCCCUGGUGUUUGUACUCACCGCCCGUCGCUCCUACCAAUUUCGAAUGAUCCGGUGAACCUUUUGGAUUGGGUGCAAGCCUAAGAAGUUAAGUAAACCUUAUCAUUUAGAGGAAGGAGAAGUCGUAACAAGGUAGCCGUA